AACGCACGAGACCUGCGGACCUGCGGAGGGAUCAUUAAUGAGUUGCAAAACUCCCUAAACCAUUGUGAACCUACCUGUACCGUUCCUUCGGCGGGCGGCGUCAAGCCCUAACCCGUCUCCCUUUACGGGGGAUGGACCCGCCGGAGGCUCCUAAACUCUUAACUUUUGUUGGCAUCUCUGAGUAAAUCAAAAUAAGUCAAAACUUUCAGCAAUGGAUCUCU
This 221-nucleotide unclassified non-coding RNA is filed under the name soil metagenome. RNAcentral describes it as "partial contains 5.8S ribosomal RNA, internal transcribed spacer 2, and large subunit ribosomal RNA". The record is from RNAcentral.